ACUCCCAAACCCCUGAUGAACAUACCAAUUGUUGCCUCGGCGGAUCAGCCCGCUCCCGGUAAAACGGGACGGCCCGCCAGAGGACCCCUAAACUCUGUUUCUAUAUGUAACUUCUGAGUAAAACCAUAAAUAAAUCAAAACUUUCAACAACGGAUCUCUUGGUUCUGGCAUCGAUGAAGAACGCAGCAAAAUGCGAUAAGUAAUGUGAAUUGCAGAAUUCAGUGAAUCAUCGAAUCUUUGAACGCACAUUGCGCCCGCCAGUAUUCUGGCGGGCAUGCCUGUUCGAGCGUCAUUUCAACCCUCAAGCCCCCGGGUUUGGUGUUGGGGAUCGGCGAGCCCUUGCGGCAAGCCGGCCCCGAAAUCUAGUGGCGGUCUCGCUGCAGCUUCCAUUGCGUAGUAGUAAAACCCUCGCAACUGGUACGCGGCGCGGCCAAGCCGUUAAACCCCCAACUUCUGAAUGUUGACCUCGGAUCAGGUAGGAAUACCCGCUGAACUUAAGCAUAUCAAUA
RNAcentral lists this ribosomal RNA (509 nucleotides) under Fusarium sp. FL-2010h. RNAcentral's name for it is "eukaryotic LSU rRNA". The stretch from base 139 to 292 matches the Rfam family "5.8S ribosomal RNA". The record is from RNAcentral. Lineage: Eukaryota; Fungi; Ascomycota; Sordariomycetes; Hypocreales; Nectriaceae.